This 468-nucleotide ribosomal RNA is filed under the name uncultured bacterium. RNAcentral's name for it is "partial 16S ribosomal RNA". It matches the Rfam family "Bacterial small subunit ribosomal RNA", at positions 28 to 507 of the family's 1533-position model. The record is from RNAcentral.
GACGAACGCUGGCGGCGUGCUUAACACAUGCAAGUCGAACGGAAAGGCCCUGCUUUUGUGGGUUGCUCGAGUGGCGAACGGGUGAGUAACACGUGAGUAACCUCCCCUUGACUUUGGGAUAACUUCAGGAAACUGGGGCUAUUACCGGAUAGAAUCUCCUGCUGCAUGGUGGGGGUUGGAAAGUUUCGGCGGUUGGGGAUGGACUCGCGGCUUAUCAGCUUGUUGGUGGGGUAGUGGCUUACCAAGGCUUUGACGGGUAGCCGGCCUGAGAGGGUGACCGGCCACAUUGGGACUGAGAUACGGCCCAGACUCCUACGGGAGGCAGCAGUGGGGAAUAUUGCACAAUGGGCGGAAGCCUGAUGCAGCAACGCCGCGUGCGGGAUGACGGCCUUCGGGUUGUAAACCGCUUUCGCCUGUGACGAAGCGUGAGUGACGGUAAUGGGUAAAGAAGCACCGGCUAACUACGUG